CAUAAUAAAAAAAACAUUGAAUAUUUAAUCAAUAAAAAGUAUUAGUUAUGAAAGUACACAAAUAAAAAAAAUUUAUUAUUCCAAUAAUAACAAUUAUUUAUAGCACUACUGCAAUAAAAUUAAUUACAGCAGUAAACAUUUAAUAUCAAAAAAACAAAUUAAACCGAAGGGCAGAGAAAAAGACCCUGGUGCUUCUAAUUUUUCCAAGGACGUUCUCACUGCUAUAACAAAAAAUAAAAAAUAAAUAUAAUAUUUAAAUUUCCAUUCAUAUAAAAAUGAAAAUUUAAAACUUUUCACCAAAAUGGUGAAAUCGGAGUUUCAGCUUCAUUUUUAGCAGCAGAGGCGGAAAAGGUGGAUGGUGGUGAGGAUGCAGGUGAAGAUGGUGAUGGAGAUUGCGAAGGCAAAUCCAUUGUAGAAUAUGAUCCUGAAGGAGAAGGAGAUGGAGAUGAUUCUUGACCCUCUACAAAGAAUAAGAGAAGUGAAGAAACAACAAGGAGAAGCAUCAACUUUUUAAGCUCCAUUUUUCUUAAUUAUUUGUAUUUCUUUUCUCUUCUUCUUGUAAUUUUCCAAAUCUCUUUCAAGGAGAGUGAUGAAGACGAUUGCAUAGUAGGAUAGUUUU
This 619-nucleotide long non-coding RNA is filed under the name Ricinus communis (castor bean). Its description in RNAcentral is "long non-coding RNA (RCOM_LNC001159)". The record is from RNAcentral. Lineage: Eukaryota; Viridiplantae; Streptophyta; Magnoliopsida; Malpighiales; Euphorbiaceae.